RNAcentral lists this ribosomal RNA (253 nucleotides) under uncultured bacterium. RNAcentral's name for it is "partial 16S ribosomal RNA". It matches the Rfam family "Bacterial small subunit ribosomal RNA", at positions 524 to 776 of the family's 1533-position model. The record is from RNAcentral.
UACGUAGGUGGCGAGCGUUGUCCGGAAUUACUGGGCGUAAAGGGUGUGUAGGUGGGCAGGUAAGUCAGAAGUGUAAUCUAUGGGCUUAACCCAUCGUUCGCUUCUGAGACUGCGUGUCUUGAGUAGUGGAGAGGGAGACGGAAUUCCAGGUGUAGCGGUGGAAUGCGUAGAGAUCUGGAAGAACACCAGUAGCGAAGGCGGUCUCCUGGCCACAUACUGACGCUGAGGCUCGAAAGCUAGGGGAGCAAACAGG